This 439-nucleotide ribosomal RNA is filed under the name uncultured bacterium. RNAcentral describes it as "partial 16S ribosomal RNA". It matches the Rfam family "Bacterial small subunit ribosomal RNA", at positions 339 to 795 of the family's 1533-position model. The record is from RNAcentral.
CGGGGGGCUGCAGCAGUGAGGAAUAUUGCACAAUGGGGGGAACCCUGAUGCAGCAACGCCGCGUGGAGGAUGACGCAUUUCGGUGUGUAAACUCCUUUUAUAUGUCAAGAAAAUGACGGUAGCAUAUGAAUAAGCACCGGCUAACUCCGUGCCAGCAGCCGCGGUAAUACGGAGGGUGCAAGCGUUACUCGGAAUCACUGGGCGUAAAGGACGCGUAGGCGGGUUGGAAAGUCAGGCGUGAAAUCCUACAGCUUAACUGUAGAUCUGCACUUGAAACUUCUAAUCUAGAGUAUGGGAGGGGGAGAUGGAAUUAGUGGUGUAGGGGUAAUAUCCGUAGAUAUCACUAGGAAUACCUAAAGCGAAGGCGAUCUCCUGGAACAUUACUGACGCUAAGGCGUGAAAGCGUGGGGAGCAAACAGGAUUAGAUACCCGAGUAGUC